Molecule: ribosomal RNA, 19 nt
Filed under: Neoptychocarpus apodanthus
Lineage: Eukaryota; Viridiplantae; Streptophyta; Magnoliopsida; Malpighiales; Salicaceae
Source: RNAcentral
CUGUGUGAAAUGGUUAUCC